CCUACGGGUGGCAGCAGUGGGGAAUAUUGGUCAAUGGGCGGGAGCCUGAACCAGCCAAGCCGCGUGAGGGAAGAAGGUACAGCGUAUCGUAAACCUCUUUUGUCAGGGAACAAAGGCGGGGACUAGUCCCCGGAUGAGGGUAGCUGAAGAAACCGCAUCGGCUAACUCCGUGCCAGCAGCCGCGGUAAUACGGAGGAUGCCAGCGUUAUCCGGAUUUAUGGGGUGUAAGGGGAGCGUAGGCCGCAGGGCAAGCGUGCGGUGAAAUGUCCGGGCUCAACCCGGGACUUGCAGAGCGAACUGGCGUGCUUGAGUCCGCGGAAAGCAGGCGGAAUUCGUCGUGUAGCGGUGAAAUGCGUAGAUAUGACGAAGAACCCCGAUGGCGAAGGCAGCUUGCUGCAGCGGAACUGACGCUGAGGCUCGAAAGCGCGGGGAUCGAACAGGAUUAGAUACCCCUGUAGUC
Molecule: ribosomal RNA, 460 nt
Filed under: uncultured bacterium
Lineage: Bacteria
Description: partial 16S ribosomal RNA
Rfam family: Bacterial small subunit ribosomal RNA
Source: RNAcentral